This 495-nucleotide ribosomal RNA is filed under the name uncultured bacterium. RNAcentral describes it as "bacterial SSU rRNA". It matches the Rfam family "Bacterial small subunit ribosomal RNA", at positions 29 to 518 of the family's 1533-position model. The record is from RNAcentral.
AAUGAACGCUGGCGGCGCGCCUAAUACAUGCAAGUCGAGCGAGAAGACGUAGCAAUACGUUUGUAAAGCGGCGAACGGGUGAGGAAUACAUGGGUAACCUACCCUAGAGUGGGGAAUAACUAGCCGAAAGGUUAGCUAAUACCGCGUACGCUCCUUGGACUUCGGUUCAGGGAGGAAAGCGAUACCGAGGGUAUCGCGCUCUUGGAUGGGCUCAUGUCCUAUCAGCUUGUUGGUGAGGUAACGGCUCACCAAGGCUUCGACGGGUAGCUGGUCUGAGAGGACGAUCAGCCACACUGGCACUGCGACACGGGCCAGACUCCUACGGGAGGCAGCAGUAAGGAAUAUGCGCAAUGGGCGAAAGCCUGACGCAGCGACGCCGCGUGGGGGAUGAAGGUCUUCGGAUUGUAAACCCCUUUCGGGAGGGAAGAUGGAACGAGCAAUCGUUCGGACGGUACCUCCAGAAGCAGCCACGGCUAACUUCGUGCCAGCAGCCGC